Molecule: ribosomal RNA, 373 nt
Filed under: uncultured organism
Description: partial 16S ribosomal RNA
Rfam family: Bacterial small subunit ribosomal RNA
Source: RNAcentral
GUAGGUGGCAAGCGUUGUCCGGAAUUAUUGGGCGUAAAGCGCGCGCAGGUGGUUCUUUAAGUCUGAUGUGAAAGCCCCCGGCUCAACCGGGGAGGGUCAUUGGAAACUGGGGAACUUGAGUGCAGGAGAGGAAAGUGGAAUUCCACGUGUAGCGGUGAAAUGCGUAGAUAUGUGGAGGAACACCAGUGGCGAAGGCGACUUUCUGGCCUGUAACUGACACUGAGGCGCGAAAGCGUGGGGAGCAAACAGGGAUUAGAUACCCUGGUAGUCCACGCCGUAAACGAUGAGUGCUAAGUGUUGGGGGGGUUUCCCGCCCCUCAGUGCUGCAGCUAACGCAUUAAGCACUCCGCCUGGGGAUACGGUCGCAAGACUG